This 302-nucleotide transfer RNA is filed under the name uncultured Actinomycetes bacterium. Its description in RNAcentral is "uncultured actinobacterium partial 16S-23S ribosomal RNA intergenic spacer". The stretch from base 1 to 73 matches the Rfam family "tRNA". Lineage: Bacteria; Bacillati; Actinomycetota; Actinomycetes. The record is from RNAcentral.
GGGGCCAUAGCUCAGUUGGGAGAGCGCUAGCUUUGCAAGCUUGAGGUCGUCGGUUCGAUCCCGACUGGCUCCACCACCAUUUUCCAGGAAUGAAGCAACCAGUUCCGUGGCAGCGAUGCCGCGGUCGAGGCCUAAGGCCUCAUCUUUGACAUUGUGAAUGGGUUCUAGAAAUCGAUGCCGUGGUUGGCGAUCGGAGCAAUCUGAUCGACCAAGCACAACAAUGAUUAUCUAGCUGAGAGAUCCGGACGGCGCCGAGCCGUGCCGGAUCACGAGUACGGCCGGGUGUUUUGUACCGGUCGGAA